UUUGUUUAUUAUACCUUUGUUGCUUUGGCGGGCCCGUCCUCGGACCACCGGCUUCGGCUGGUCAGCGCCCGCCAGAGGACCUAAAACUCUGUUUGUUCAUAUUGUCUGAGUACUAUAUAAUAGUUAAAACUUUCAACAACGGAUCUCUUGGUUCUGGCAUCGAUGAAGAACGCAGCGAAAUGCGAUAAGUAAUGUGAAUUGCAGAAUUCAGUGAAUCAUCGAAUCUUUGAACGCACAUUGCGCCCCCUGGUAUUCCGGGGGGCAUGCCUGUUCGAGCGUCAUUACAACCCUCAAGCUCUGCUUGGUAUUGGGCUCUGCCGGUCCCGGCAGGCCUUAAAAUCAGUGGCGGUGCCAUUCGGCUUCAAGCGUAGUAAUUCUUCUCGCUUUGGAGGCCCGGGUGCGUGCUUGCCAGCAACCCCCAAUUUUUUCAGGUUGACCUCGGAUCAGGUAGGGAUACCCGCUGAACUUAAGCAUAUCAAUAAGCG
Molecule: ribosomal RNA, 485 nt
Filed under: Pseudeurotium bakeri
Lineage: Eukaryota; Fungi; Ascomycota; Leotiomycetes; Thelebolales; Pseudeurotiaceae
Description: eukaryotic LSU rRNA
Rfam family: 5.8S ribosomal RNA (bases 128-281)
Source: RNAcentral